RNAcentral lists this ribosomal RNA (545 nucleotides) under uncultured Funneliformis. RNAcentral's name for it is "SSU rRNA". It matches the Rfam family "Eukaryotic small subunit ribosomal RNA", at positions 553 to 1098 of the family's 1831-position model. Lineage: Eukaryota; Fungi; Glomeromycota; Glomeromycetes; Glomerales; Glomeraceae. The record is from RNAcentral.
GGGCAAGUCUGGUGCCAGCAGCCGCGGUAAUUCCAGCUCCAAUAGCGUAUAUUAAAGUUGUUGCAGUUAAAAAGCUCGUAGUUGAAUUUCGGGAUCAAUAUUUCGGUCAUGCCGUUGGUAUGCACUGUUAUCAUUGAUUUCUCACCUUCUAAAGAACCGUGAUGCCAUUAAUUUGGUGUUACGGGGAAUUAGGACUGUUACCUUGAAAAAAUUAGAGUGUUUAAAGCAGGCUCACGCUUGAAUACAUUAGCAUGGAAUAAUGAAAUAGGACAUCCGAUUCUAUUUUGUUGGUUUCUAGGAUCGAUGUAAUGAUUAAUAGGGAUAGUUGGGGGCAUUAGUAUUCAAUUGUCAGAGGUGAAAUUCUUGGAUUUAUUGAAGACUAACUACUGCGAAAGCAUUUGCCAAGGAUGUUUUCAUUAAUCAAGAACGAAAGUUAGGGGAUCGAAGACGAUCAGAUACCGUCGUAGUCUUAACCAUAAACUAUGCCGACUAGGGAUCGGAUGAUGUUAAUUUUUUAAUGACUCAUUCGGCGCCUUACGGGAAAC